Molecule: ribosomal RNA, 263 nt
Filed under: uncultured archaeon
Lineage: Archaea
Description: partial 16S ribosomal RNA
Rfam family: Archaeal small subunit ribosomal RNA
Source: RNAcentral
AGUCACUGACAUUACGAUACCCCCGUAGUCCACGGGUGUAAACGCUGCAGACUUGGUGUUGGAAGUCCUUUGGGGCAUUCAGUGCCGGAGAGAAGUUGUUAAGUCUGCUACUUGGGAGUACGUCCGCAAGGAUGAAACUUAAAGGAAUUGCGGGGAGCACCACAACGGGUGGAGCCUGCGGUUUAAUUGGACUCAACGCCGGAAAUCUCACCGGAUAGGACAGACAUAUGAUAGUCGGGCUGAAGACUCUACUUGAUGAUCUG